Molecule: unclassified non-coding RNA, 537 nt
Filed under: Fusarium solani
Lineage: Eukaryota; Fungi; Ascomycota; Sordariomycetes; Hypocreales; Nectriaceae
Description: sequence contains ITS1, 5.8S rRNA gene, ITS2
Rfam family: 5.8S ribosomal RNA (bases 167-320)
Source: RNAcentral
GCGGAGGGAUCAUUACCGAGUUAUACAACUCAUCAACCCUGUGAACAUACCUAUAACGUUGCCUCGGCGGGAACAGACGGCCCCGUAACACGGGCCGCCCCCGCCAGAGGACCCCCUAACUCUGUUUCUAUAAUGUUUCUUCUGAGUAAACAAGCAAAUAAAUUAAAACUUUCAACAACGGAUCUCUUGGCUCUGGCAUCGAUGAAGAACGCAGCGAAAUGCGAUAAGUAAUGUGAAUUGCAGAAUUCAGUGAAUCAUCGAAUCUUUGAACGCACAUUGCGCCCGCCAGUAUUCUGGCGGGCAUGCCUGUUCGAGCGUCAUUACAACCCUCAGGCCCCCGGGCCUGGCGUUGGGGAUCGGCGGAAGCCCCCUGCGGGCACAACGCCGUCCCCCAAAUACAGUGGCGGUCCCGCCGCAGCUUCCAUUGCGUAGUAGCUAACACCUCGCAACUGGAGAGCGGCGCGGCCACGCCGUAAAACACCCAACUUCUGAAUGUUGACCUCGAAUCAGGUAGGAAUACCCGCUGAACUUAACAUU